This 256-nucleotide ribosomal RNA is filed under the name uncultured bacterium. RNAcentral describes it as "partial 16S ribosomal RNA". It matches the Rfam family "Bacterial small subunit ribosomal RNA", at positions 28 to 276 of the family's 1533-position model. The record is from RNAcentral.
GACGAACGCUGGCGGCGUGCUUAACACAUGCAAGUCGAACGAGCUUAAGAGAAGCUUGCUUUUCUUAAGCGAGUGGCGGACGGGUGAGUAACGCGUGAGUAACUUGCCUCGGACUGGGGAAUAACACAGGGAAACUUGUGCUAAUACCGCAUAAUGUGCGAGAGGGGCAUCCCUUUUGCGACCAAAGGAGCAAUCCGGUCUGAGAUGGACUCGCGUCCGAUUAGAUAGUUGGUGAGGUAACGGCCCACCAAGUCCU